GGCGGACGGGUGAGUAAUGCCUAGGAAUCUGCCUGAUAGUGGGGGACAACGUUUCGAAAGGAACGCUAAUACCGCAUACGUCCUACGGGAGAAAGCAGGGGACCUUCGGGCCUUGCGCUAUCAGAUGAGCCUAGGUCGGAUUAGCUAGUUGGUGAGGUAAUGGCUCACCAAGGCGACGAUCCGUAACUGGUCUGAGAGGAUGAUCAGUCACACUGGAACUGAGACACGGUCCAGACUCCUACGGGAGGCAGCAGUGGGGAAUAUUGGACAAUGGGCGAAAGCCUGAUCCAGCCAUGCCGCGUGUGUGAAGAAGGUCUUCGGAUUGUAAAGCACUUUAAGUUGGGAGGAAGGGCAUUAACCUAAUACGUUAGUGUUUUGACGUUACCGACAGAAUAAGCACCGGCUAACUUCGUGCCAGCAGCCGCGGUAAUACGAAGGGUGCAAGCGUUAAUCGGAAUUACUGGGCGUAAAGCGCGCGUAGGUGGUUUGUUAAGUUGAAUGUGAAAGCCCCGGGCUCAACCUGGGAACUGCAUCCAAAACUGGCAAGCUAGAGUAUGGCAGAGGGUGGUGGAAUUUCCUGUGUAGCGGUGAAAUGCGUAGAUAUAGGAAGGAACACCAGUGGCGAAGGCGACCACCUGGGCUAAUACUGACACUGAGGUGCGAAAGCGUGGGGAGCAAACAGGAUUAGAUACCCUGGUAGUCCACGCCGUAAACGAUGCU
Molecule: ribosomal RNA, 720 nt
Filed under: uncultured bacterium
Lineage: Bacteria
Description: bacterial SSU rRNA
Rfam family: Bacterial small subunit ribosomal RNA
Source: RNAcentral